CCUACGGGAGGCAGCAGUGAGGAAUAUUGGUCAAUGGACGGAAGUCUGAACCAGCCAUGCCGCGUGAAGGAAGACGGCCCUAUGAGUUGUAAACUGCUUUUGUAAAAGGGUAAACCUGAAUACGUGUAUUCAGCUGAAAGUACUGUAUGAAUAAGGAUCGGCUAACUCCGUGCCAGCAGCCGCGGUAAUACGGAGGAUCCAAGCGUUAUCCGGAUUUAUUGGGUUUAAAGGGAGCGUAGGCGGGUUGCUAAGUUAGAGGUGAAAGUUCCGAGCUUAACUCGGGAAUUGCCUUUAAUACUGGUGACCUAGAGAGUAGAUGCGGUAGGCGGAAUGCAUGGUGUAGCGGUGAAAUGCUUAGAGAUCAUACAGAACACCGAUUGCGAAGGCAGCUUACUAAUCU
RNAcentral lists this ribosomal RNA (400 nucleotides) under uncultured bacterium. Its description in RNAcentral is "partial 16S ribosomal RNA". It matches the Rfam family "Bacterial small subunit ribosomal RNA", at positions 338 to 735 of the family's 1533-position model. The record is from RNAcentral.